GAUGAACGCUGGCGGCGUGCCUAAUACAUGCAAGUCGAGCGAACAGAUGAGGAGCUUUCUCCUCUGACGUUAGCGGCGGACGGGUGAGUAACACGUGGAUAACCUACCUAUAAGACUGGGAUAACUUCGGGAAACCGGAGCUAAUACCGGAUAAUAUAUUGAACCGCAUGGUUCAAUAGUGCAAGACGGUUUUGCUGUCACUUAUAGAUGGAUCCGCGCCGGAUUAGCUAGUUGGUAAGGUAACGGCUUUCCAAGGCAACGGUGCGUAGCCGAACUGAGAGGGGGAUCAGCCACAACGGAACUUGGGACAGGUCCCAACUCCCAAGGGAGGGCGGAGUGGGGAAUAUUGCCGAAAGGGGGGAAAGCUGGACGGAGCAAAGCGGGGGGGUUGAGGAGGGUUUUCGGUUCGUAAAACUCUGUUUUGGGGAAGAAACAAAGGUGUAAGAAACUAUGCACGUCUGGACGGUACCAAAGAAGAAAGCCCGGGCUAACUCGUG
RNAcentral lists this ribosomal RNA (497 nucleotides) under uncultured bacterium. RNAcentral describes it as "partial 16S ribosomal RNA". It matches the Rfam family "Bacterial small subunit ribosomal RNA", at positions 28 to 507 of the family's 1533-position model. The record is from RNAcentral.